RNAcentral lists this long non-coding RNA (453 nucleotides) under Bos taurus (domestic cattle). RNAcentral describes it as "long non-coding RNA NONBTAT007325". The record is from RNAcentral. Lineage: Eukaryota; Metazoa; Chordata; Mammalia; Artiodactyla; Bovidae.
UGUUGGAGGAAAUUUUGGGGGGAACAUGGCCCUUUAUCUUAACCUCAAAUUCUAUUAAUACUCGUGGUUAAUUAAACAGAUUUUUUUUUCCAUUUUGGUUCAGUUUCACAAAGCUUUAUUGAAUGCCAAGUGCCUUAUUCUCAGCUCACGAGAGAUGAGUAAAAUGGGCUCAGAGACAAGUCAGACUUGCUUGAGAUUAAAUAAGCAAAUCAAAUAUGAAAAUGGGAAAUCCCAGGAAAUAAUGAGUGCUCGCCUUGUUCCCAUUCCAUAGACAUCAGGAGACUAAACAACCAAGCGAGAACAGUGGGAAUACAGGACUUCUUUAGCGCAAACCUGUUGAGGUCACACUUGAGUUAUGACUCUGGUCCCUCCAGUUAAAGGGACCCCCCCCGCACAAGAUGAAAACUUGAGCGGGGUGAGCAGAGGUUGAUUUCCAUUGGGGUGUUAUGGGGU